This is a non-coding RNA of Equus caballus (horse), 459 nucleotides long. Lineage: Eukaryota; Metazoa; Chordata; Mammalia; Perissodactyla; Equidae. The record is from RefSeq and is a predicted model, not a curated record.
UUGCGCCUGUGGUCUUGGCCCUGGAGGUGGAGCGCUUUGGCUUAUAAAUGCCACAAAUCAAUAAACAGUACAAGUCAGAAUUGAGGCCCUUUUGAACUUCAGCUGACCUCAACUCCCAGCCAGUUAGUCACGAGGAUACAUGCCCAGAGAGCUGAUUCCGGGAGAGAAAACUUCCAUACGGCAUUUGGUCAACUACCUUGAAGCAGGGAGCUUACGUCUGGAAGAGGUGCGGCCACGGAUGCGGAGGACCCCGGCUCAGCCUCCAUCCAACACCAGCUGUGAAGGAAAGACAACCUUGUGUCCAGACGUUCAGAGAGUCUGCUCUGAGUGACUUUAUCAAGCAAGGGGUGGAUGAAGCACCUAAAGGGACAGAGAGCUGGGGCUUCCUUCAGCCUAGAGAACAGGUUCCAGAAAUGGUUCCAUUCUUGCUUGCUAAUAAACUUUUGCUUAAUAAAUAUC